UUUUCAAUCAAAAAAUGUGCCUUAUUAGUUUAAAAAAGGUUGAAAAAAACUGGUUUAAGUAAUUUUGCAAUCUUCAACACCUGUUACUGCCACCUAGUGGCGAUAGGAAAAUGCCACGCCUCGUUUUUUUGGCCACUUCCGGUUUGACGAUGAGACAAUGGAGAAGUCGACAAGAAAGAUAAGUUUUCAAGAUUCCCACACGAAGGACCUACAUUGACCCGGAGACUUGUGAGGACCUGCUGCAGGCGGUCCAUGCCUUCGCCAAGGAGUUGGACAACUCCAGCAUCAAGAUAGAAAGGAUUGUUCACACAGGCGACUUUGGGGAG
Long non-coding RNA from Nerophis ophidion (straightnose pipefish), 326 nucleotides. RefSeq lists it as uncharacterized. The record is from RefSeq and is a predicted model, not a curated record. NCBI's taxonomy places the organism in Eukaryota, Metazoa, Chordata, Actinopteri, Syngnathiformes, Syngnathidae. The transcript has 3 exons.